Molecule: long non-coding RNA, 157 nt
Organism: Oncorhynchus gorbuscha (pink salmon)
Lineage: Eukaryota; Metazoa; Chordata; Actinopteri; Salmoniformes; Salmonidae
Exons: 3
Source: RefSeq, a predicted model, not a curated record
AUGAGAGAACGCUACCCCGCCCUCCGCCUGUUCCCCGCGCUGCACGCAGAGAGGGUGGUAGCCUACUCUGGUCAGAGGAACCUGAAGGAUCUGGUGCAGUUUCUGGAGAAAGAGAUGGAAAGAGCCAAGAAGGACAGGGCCCAAGAGGAGGAGGAUC